RNAcentral lists this ribosomal RNA (675 nucleotides) under uncultured Vibrionaceae bacterium. Its description in RNAcentral is "bacterial SSU rRNA". It matches the Rfam family "Bacterial small subunit ribosomal RNA", at positions 1 to 671 of the family's 1533-position model. Lineage: Bacteria; Pseudomonadati; Pseudomonadota; Gammaproteobacteria; Vibrionales; Vibrionaceae. The record is from RNAcentral.
UAGAGUUUGAUCAUGGCUCAGAUUGAACGCUGGCGGCAGGCCUAACACAUGCAAGUCGAGCGGUAACAGAUUGAUAGCUUGCUAUCAAUGCUGACGAGCGGCGGACGGGUGAGUAAUGCCUGGGAAUGUACCCUGAUGUGGGGGAUAACUAUUGGAAACGAUAGCUAAUACCGCAUAAUCUCUUCGGAGCAAAGAGGGGGACCUUCGGGCCUCUCGCGUCAGGAUUAGCCCAGGUGGGAUUAGCUAGUUGGUGGGGUAAUGGCUCACCAAGGUAACGAUCCUUAGCUGGUCUGAGAGGAUGAUCAGCCACACUGGAACUGAGACACGGUCCAGACUCCUACGGGAGGCAGCAGUGGGGAAUAUUGCACAAUGGGGGAAACCCUGAUGCAGCCAUGCCGCGUGUAUGAAGAAGGCCUUCGGGUUGUAAAGUACUUUCAGUUGAGGAAGGCGUUGGAGUUAAUAGCUUCAGCGUUUGACGUUAGCAACAGAAGAAGCACCGGCUAACUCCGUGCCAGCAGCCGCGGUAAUACGGAGGGUGCGAGCGUUAAUCGGAAUUACUGGGCGUAAAGCGCAUGCAGGCGGUCUGUUAAGCAAGAUGUGAAAGCCCGGGGCUUAACCUCGGAACAGCAUUUUGAACUGGCAGACUAGAGUCCUGUAGAGGGGGGUAGAAUUUCA